AGGAGGGGAGUUUGCAGGUGGGAGCUGCCUGAAUGCGCUGCUCUGAGCCGCCUGAAGGCUGAUGUGCUGCUCUGUGAGGCUGGAAUCCCCUUAUUUUUUGCUAGAAUCCCCUUAUUUUUUGCUAGAAUCCCCUUAUUUUUUGCUAGAACCACCUUAUUUUGUGUUAGAAUCCCCUUAUUUUGUGCCGGAAUCCCUUAUUUUGUGCCGGAAUCCCUUAUUUUGUGCCGGAAUCCCUUAUUUUGUGCUGGAAUCCCUUAUUUUGAGCCAGAAUCCCUUAUUUUGAGCCAGAAUCACCUUAUUUUGUGCCAGAAUCCCUUAUUUUGUGCCAGAAUCACCUUAUUUUGUGCUAGAACCACCUUAUUUUUUGCUAGAAUCCCCUCAUUUUGUGCCGGAAUCCCUUAUUUUGUGUUAGAACCACCUUAUUUUGUGCCGGAAUCCCUUAUUUUGUGCCAGAAUCCCUUAUUUUGUGCCAGAAUCCCUUAUUUUGUGCUAGAACCACCUUAUUUUGUGCCAGCAUCCCCUCAUUUUGUGCCAGAAUCCCCUCAUUUUCUGUUAGAACCACCUUAUUUUGUGCCGGAAUCCCUUACUUUGUGCUAGAACCACCUAACUUUGUGCCAGAAUCCCCUCAUUUUGUGUUAGAACCACAUAAUUUUGUUCCGGAAUCCCUUAUUUUGUGCCAGAAUCCCCUUAUUUUGUUCCAGAAUCCCUUAUUUUGUGCCGGAAUCCCCUCAUUUUGUGCUAGAACCACCUCAUUUUGUGCCGGAAUCCCCUCUUUUUGUGCCAGAAUCCCCAUAUUUUGUGUUAGAACCACCUCAUUUUGUGCUAGAAUACCCCCAUUUUGUGCCAGAACCACCUCAACCAGCGACACCUGGGCCAGUGACACCUCACCCCCCUCAUCCACAGCUCCCUGCCUGCCUCCCCCUGACAUCCCAACGUGUUUUUUUUCCAGGCCCUGGAGCUGGCGGAGCACUUCAGCCCCGAAGAUAUCCGCAAGAUCACCCUGGCCCUGGCCUACCAGAACCGCCGCUGCGUGCCCCUGCUGCGUGCCCUGUCCUACCACCUCCUGCAGAAACACACCGAGCUCGACCUCGCCACCCUGACCGACCUGAUUUUUGCUUAUGGAAAACUGAAUUUCCACCAGCCCCAGGUCUUCCAGAAGCUCGCCACCGACCUGCAGCCCCACGUGGCCAGCAUGACGCCGGGCGAGGUGACGCGCUGCAUCAGGUCCUUCGCCCUCCUCAAGUGGCUCAGCCUCCCCCUCUUCGAGGCCAUCGCGCAGUACGCCCUGGACAACGCCAAGCAGCUCUCGGUCGCCCACCUGUGCAGCAUCAUCCUCUCCUUCGCCCGCCUCAACUUCCAGCCCAGCGGCAGCGAGGAUUUCUUUAACAUG
RNAcentral lists this long non-coding RNA (1390 nucleotides) under Anas platyrhynchos platyrhynchos (common mallard). RNAcentral describes it as "lncRNA (ENSAPLG00000018614.1)". The record is from RNAcentral. Lineage: Eukaryota; Metazoa; Chordata; Aves; Anseriformes; Anatidae.